AGAGAGAGACAUGCGCGCAUAUCAAUAAGCGGAGGAAAAGAAACUAACAAGGAUUCCCCUAGUAACGGCGAGUGAAGCGGGAAGAGCUCAAAUUUGAAAUCUUAAAGGGUUUCCCUUUACGAAUUGUAGUUUAAAGAAGUGUUUUCUGUUGAGGUUUUGGUAAAAGUUCUUUGGAAUAGGACAUCAUAGAGGGUGAGAAUCCCGUAUUUGACCUUUACUUUCAACUUUGUGAUACACUUUCAAAGAGUCGGAUUGUUUGGGAAUGCAGUCCAAAAUGGGUGGUAAAUUUCAUCUAAAGCUAAAUAUUGGCGAGAGACCGAUAGCGAACAAGUACCGUGAGGGAAAGAUGAAAAGAACUUUGAAAAGAGAGUUAAACAGUACGUGAAAUUGUCAAGAGGGAAGCGUUUGACACCAGUGUUGUUUUUCUGAAAAUCAAUUAAAGAACUGUUUAUGCUAAGCUGUUUAGACUUUAUCAGCUAUCUGUUUAGUUUUGAGCUUUUCUUUAAUGCACUUUUCAGUUAACAAGUCAACAUCAAUUUCUUUUGCUGUAAAAAAGCUUGAGGAAGGUGGCUUGAGAUUCGUCUUAAGUGUUUAUAGCCUCUUGCCUAUGCAGUCGGAGAGAUUGAGGUCUGCAGCGUAGAUCCUUCGGGGCUAAAUGCAUUUGUGCUAAGUUAUAGCAUUUUAUAGACAACUUGUUGACUAUGAUUUGUCUUGUAGCUUACUCGCUUAUGUUAUUUUACCUACGCUUAGGAUGUUGACGCAUGAGAUAUACGC
This 774-nucleotide ribosomal RNA is filed under the name uncultured Neocallimastigales. RNAcentral describes it as "partial large subunit ribosomal RNA". It matches the Rfam family "Eukaryotic large subunit ribosomal RNA", at positions 23 to 647 of the family's 3401-position model. The record is from RNAcentral. Lineage: Eukaryota; Fungi; Neocallimastigomycota; Neocallimastigomycetes; Neocallimastigales.